Molecule: ribosomal RNA, 559 nt
Filed under: uncultured bacterium
Lineage: Bacteria
Description: bacterial SSU rRNA
Rfam family: Bacterial small subunit ribosomal RNA
Source: RNAcentral
GGAUUGAAUGGGGGCACCCUGAUCCAGCAAUGCCGCGUGAGUGAAGAAGGCCUUCGGGUUGUAAAGCUCUUUUGUCAGGGAAGAAACGGUGUUGCCGAAUAAGUGGCACUAAUGACGGUACCUGAAGAAUAAGCACCGGCUAACUACGUGCCAGCAGCCGCGGUAAUACGUAGGGUGCAAGCGUUAAUCGGAAUUACUGGGCGUAAAGCGUGCGCAGGCGGUUAUGUAAGUCAGAUGUGAAAUCCCCGGGCUUAACCUGGGAAUGGCAUUUGAGACUGCAUAGCUAGAGUGUGUCAGAGGGGGGUAGAAUUCCACGUGUAGCAGUGAAAUGCGUAGAGAUGUGGAGGAAUACCGAUGGCGAAGGCAGCCCCCUGGGAUAACACUGACGCUCAUGCACGAAAGCGUGGGGAGCAAACAGGAUUAGAUACCCUGGUAGUCCACGCCCUAAACGAUGUCUACUAGUUGUCGGGUCUUAAUUGACUUGGUAACGCAGCUAACGCGUGAAGUAGACCGCCUGGGGAGUACGGUCGCAAGAUUAAAACUCAAAGGAAUUGACGGA